This 451-nucleotide ribosomal RNA is filed under the name uncultured bacterium. RNAcentral describes it as "bacterial SSU rRNA". It matches the Rfam family "Bacterial small subunit ribosomal RNA", at positions 354 to 796 of the family's 1533-position model. The record is from RNAcentral.
GUGGGGAAUAUUGGACAAUGGGCGCAAGCCUGAUCCAGCCAUGCCGCGUGUGUGAAGAAGGCCUUUUGGUUGUAAAGCACUUUAAGCGAGGAGGAGGCUCCUUUAGUUAAUACCUAAAGAGAGUGGACGUUACUCGCAGAAUAAGCACCGGCUAACUCUGUGCCAGCAGCCGCGGUAAUACAGAGGGUGCGAGCGCUAAUCGGAUUUACUGGGCGUAAAGCGUGCGUAGGCGGCUUUUUAAGUCGGAUGUGAAAUCCCUGAGCUUAACUUAGGAAUUGCAUUCGAUACUGGAAAGCUAGAGUAUGGGAGAGGAUGGUAGAAUUCCAGGUGUAGCGGUGAAAUGCGUAGAGAUCUGGAGGAAUAUCGAUGGCGAAGGCAGCCAUCUGGCCUAAUACUGACGCUGAGGUACGAAAGCAUGGGGAGCAAACAGGAUUAGAAACCCGGGUAGUCC